This 719-nucleotide ribosomal RNA is filed under the name Orbulina universa. Its description in RNAcentral is "SSU rRNA". It matches the Rfam family "Eukaryotic small subunit ribosomal RNA", at positions 1222 to 1648 of the family's 1831-position model. The record is from RNAcentral. Lineage: Eukaryota; Foraminifera; Rotaliida; Globigerinidae.
AAUAAUGAAUGGUCCAGGGUAGGCAAAAACUAAUAGCUCUUUUAUGAUUAUGUGAUAGGUGGUGCAUGGCCGUUCUUAGUUCGUGGAGUGAUCUGUCUGCUUAAUUGCGUUUCAAAACAACUGAUACACAGAGUCUUGGCACAGUUCAGUUUAAUGGCGUCGAGUAUCUUUGAUUUCGACAGUAGUCCAACUCGGUUCGCCAGGGUCUCUUUUGAACGCAACGGACGUGAUCGCAACCCUUUGUUGAGUGAUGUCAGCACUCUACGUCUAUCCUAGCUCGUUGAUCGCAAGUGAGAGUUGGGUGGGCAAACUCAGGGGACAGCUUCAACUAUUCUUCUUCAAACUAGAGGAAGGUUGCGGCAAUAACAGGUCUGUGAUGCCCUCAGAUGUUCUAGGCUGCACACGUGCUACAUUGAUCAGCACAAUGCGAUACAUUUCGAAAGGAAACAUCGGUUUUAAGGUAACGUCGAUUGCCUACCGAUAGCACCUGGUCCUCAGUGGACUGGGCAAUCUCUUCUAAAUGCUGGUAAGGUACCCACACUCGAGCUAUUUAAUCACACGCGGGAGGCACACACGGUUCAAAUCUCAUUUGCGACUGUUGCCGCCAUGACGUAUGCAACUUGUCAACUCUUCGUGGGGAUCGUCGAUUGCAACUAUUCGACUCGCCACAACUAGGAAUGCCUCGUACGGGUCUUGGUUCACCAUACCGCCCGGAAUAC